This 159-nucleotide non-coding RNA is filed under the name bovine gut metagenome. RNAcentral's name for it is "Lysine riboswitch". It matches the Rfam family "Lysine riboswitch aptamer". From Rfam's summary of the family: Riboswitches are metabolite binding domains within certain messenger RNAs that serve as precision sensors for their corresponding targets. Allosteric rearrangement of mRNA structure is mediated by ligand binding, and this results in modulation of gene expression. The record is from RNAcentral.
AGAUAGAGGCGCGGUGCUCAUCAGUACCCCCGGCAAGGCCAGUCUGCCGCCGGACGGGAAAGGGAUCGCCGCCGAAGCGCCGAGGGAGGGACUGUUCCCUUUGCGCUGGGCCGUCGGAGAAGAUCCGCCGGACUGUCACAGUUUUGUGGAGCGCUAUCG